This is a ribosomal RNA of Neogobius melanostomus (round goby), 119 nucleotides long. The record is from Ensembl. Lineage: Eukaryota; Metazoa; Chordata; Actinopteri; Gobiiformes; Gobiidae.
GCUUACAGCCAUACUACCCUGAGCACGCCCGAUCUCGUCUGAUCUCGGAAGCUAAGCAGGGUCAGGCCUGGUUAGUACUUGGAUGGGAGACCGCCUGGGAAUACCAGGUGCUGUAAGCU